Molecule: ribosomal RNA, 1016 nt
Filed under: uncultured bacterium
Lineage: Bacteria
Description: bacterial SSU rRNA
Rfam family: Bacterial small subunit ribosomal RNA
Source: RNAcentral
AGGAAUAUUGGUCAAUGGACGAGAGUCUGAACCAGCCAAGUAGCGUGAAGGAUGAAGGUCCUACGGAUUGUAAACUUCUUUUAUAAGGGAAUAAACCCUCCCACGUGUGGGAGCUUGUAUGUACCUUAUGAAUAAGCAUCGGCUAACUCCGUGCCAGCAGCCGCGGUAAUACGGAGGAUGCGAGCGUUAUCCGGAUUUAUUGGGUUUAAAGGGAGCGCAGACGGGUCGUUAAGUCAGCUGUGAAAGUUUGGGGCUCAACCUUAAAAUUGCAGUUGAUACUGGCGUCCUUGAGUGCGGUUGAGGUGUGCGGAAUUCGUGGUGUAGCGGUGAAAUGCUUAGAUAUCACGAAGAACUCCGAUUGCGAAGGCAGCACACUAAUCCGUAACUGACGUUCAUGCUCGAAAGUGUGGGUAUCAAACAGGAUUAGAUACCCUGGUAGUCCACACGGUAAACGAUGGAUACUCGCUGUUGGCGAUAUACGGUCAGCGGCUUAGCGAAAGCGUUAAGUAUCCCACCUGGGGAGUACGCCGGCAACGGUGAAACUCAAAGGAAUUGACGGGGGCCCGCACAAGCGGAGGAACAUGUGGUUUAAUUCGAUGAUACGCGAGGAACCUUACCCGGGCUUAAAUUGCAAAGGAAUAAUCUGGAAACAGAUUAGUCUUCGGAUCUUUGUGAAGGUGCUGCAUGGUUGUCGUCAGCUCGUGCCGUGAGGUGUCGGCUUAAGUGCCAUAACGAGCGCAACCCUCGCCGCCAGUUACUAACAGUUAAAGCUGAGGACUCUGGCGGGACUGCCAUCGUAAGAUGUGAGGAAGGUGGGGAUGACGUCAAAUCAGCACGGCCCUUACGUCCGGGGCUACACACGUGUUACAAUGGGCGGUACAGAAGGCAGCUACCUGGCGACAGGAUGCCAAUCCCUAAAGCCGCUCUCAGUUCGGACUGGAGUCUGCAACCCGACUCCACGAAGCUGGAUUCGCUAGUAAUCGCGCAUCAGCCACGGCGCGGUGAAUACGUUCCCG